CACGUAGGGUCCGAGCGUUGUCCGGAAUUACUGGGCGUAAAGCGUGCGCGGCGGUUGGGUCAGGUGCUGGGGAAAGCCCCACGCUCAACGUGGGAAUGGCCAACGAGACGGCCCGACUGGAGGCAGGGAGAGGCCGGUGGAAUUCCGGGUGUAGUGGUGAAAUGCGUAGAGAUCCGGAGGAACACCAGAGGCGAAGGCGGCCGGCUGGACCUGACCUGACGCUGAGGCACGAAGGCGUGGGGAGCGAACGGG
RNAcentral lists this ribosomal RNA (252 nucleotides) under uncultured bacterium. Its description in RNAcentral is "partial 16S ribosomal RNA". It matches the Rfam family "Bacterial small subunit ribosomal RNA", at positions 524 to 776 of the family's 1533-position model. The record is from RNAcentral.